GAGAGUUCUCCAUCUUUCGGUCAGAAUUGUUAUUGAAGCAGCUUGUUUUGUUAGGAGAAAGAAUAAGUCUGGAAGAGAGCUGAUUGCAUCUCCGCACUCAUAUUCUACUUUUUCCGUCGCCAUGAAAAUCCCUACUAGUGAUUUCAAAAUCAGAAGAUUUAAUGAAAAUUCGAAAUAUGUUUCCAACUAACGUCAAUGGUGAUU
Molecule: long non-coding RNA, 204 nt
Organism: Arabidopsis thaliana (thale cress)
Lineage: Eukaryota; Viridiplantae; Streptophyta; Magnoliopsida; Brassicales; Brassicaceae
Product: other RNA
Exons: 1
Source: RefSeq